This is a non-coding RNA of Butyrivibrio proteoclasticus, 81 nucleotides long. The record is from Rfam. Lineage: Bacteria; Bacillati; Bacillota; Clostridia; Lachnospirales; Lachnospiraceae.
AUAAUGAUACUUCCGCUCAGCCACAACUCAUCGUAAUGGGAGCGGCCCGGCGAGAUCCGCGGGGAGGUAAAGAGCCUAUGG